This 450-nucleotide ribosomal RNA is filed under the name uncultured bacterium. RNAcentral describes it as "partial 16S ribosomal RNA". It matches the Rfam family "Bacterial small subunit ribosomal RNA", at positions 354 to 796 of the family's 1533-position model. The record is from RNAcentral.
GUGGGGAAUUUUGGACAAUGGGCGAAAGCCUGAUCCAGCAAUGCCGCGUGCAGGAUGAAGGCCUUCGGGUUGUAAACUGCUUUUGUACGGAACGAAAAGCUUCGGGUUAAUACCCUGGAGCCAUGACGGUACCGUAAGAAUAAGCACCGGCUAACUACGUGCCAGCAGCCGCGGUAAUACGUAGGGUGCAAGCGUUAAUCGGAAUUACUGGGCGUAAAGCGUGCGCAGGCGGUUUUGUAAGACAGAGGUGAAAUCCCCGGGCUCAACCUGGGAACUGCAUUUGUGACUGUAUAGCUAGAGUACGGCAGAGGGGGAUGGAAUUCCGCGUGUAGCAGUGAAAUGCGUAGAUAUGUGGAGGAACACCGAUGGCGAAGGCAAUCCCCUGGGCCUGUACUGACGCUCAUGCACGAAAGCGUGGGGAGCAAACAGGAUUAGAAACCCCUGUAGUCC